Mauremys mutica (yellowpond turtle) is the source of this 389-nucleotide long non-coding RNA. RefSeq lists it as uncharacterized. The record is from RefSeq and is a predicted model, not a curated record. The transcript is spliced from 3 exons. NCBI's taxonomy places the organism in Eukaryota, Metazoa, Chordata, Testudines, Geoemydidae.
UGGAGUGGUAAGCCAAGGAGAACCACUGCUGCCCCAAGGACCUGCAUAAGCUUCCAAAGAACCCUGCCACUCCUGAUGUUGAGAAGCUGCUAUGGCUUACCUUGAUGGUGUAUCCCAGGGAGACUGAAGACAAUCCCUGGAUGCAGGACAAUCCGGGAUGGUUGGCAACCUUACCCCCAGGUGCUUCUUCAGGGCCUGACAAAUUUGCUGCACAAGGUUUGAGGCAGACAGACAAACUCCACAUAAGGGAGAAGUGAAGACCAAUCAUCCUUAAGAAUUUGGUUGGCCCUUGCUGUCUGGCCAUUGGACUGGGGAUGUUAAGCAGAGGAAAGACUUGCGUUGACUCCCAGCAGGUGCAAGGUUUUGUGCCAGAACCAAGCCGUGAAAUG